This 245-nucleotide ribosomal RNA is filed under the name uncultured bacterium. RNAcentral describes it as "partial 16S ribosomal RNA". It matches the Rfam family "Bacterial small subunit ribosomal RNA", at positions 524 to 768 of the family's 1533-position model. The record is from RNAcentral.
GACAGAGGGUGCAAGCGUUGUUCGGAAUUACUGGGCGUAAAGGGUGCGUAGGCGGCGAGGAAAGUCACAUGUGAAAUCCCUGGUUUCAAGUCAGGAACUGCAUGUGAAACUCCCUUGCUCGAAUCACGGAGAGGGAAAUGGAAUUCCCGGUGUAGAGGUGAAAUUCGUAGAGAUCGGGAGGAACACCAGAGGCGAAAGCGGUUUCCUGGACGAUGAUUGACGCUGAGGCACGAAAGCGUGGGUAG